CCUACGGGAGGCUGCAGUGGGGAAUAUUGGACAAUGGGGGGAACCCUGAUCCAGCCAUGCCGCGUGUGUGAAGAAGGCUCUCGGGUUGUAAAGCACUUUCAGUGAGGAAGAACGCCUGGUGGUUAAUACCCAUCAGGAAAGACAUCACUCACAGAAGAAGCACCGGCUAACUCCGUGCCAGCAGCCGCGGUAAUACGGAGGGUGCGAGCGUUAAUCGGAAUUACUGGGCGUAAAGCGCGCGUAGGUGGCUUGAUAAGCCGGUUGUGAAAGCCCCGGGCUCAACCUGGGAACGGCAUCCGGAACUGUCAAGCUAGAGUGCAGGAGAGGAAGGUAGAAUUCCCGGUGUAGCGGUGAAAUGCGUAGAGAUCGGGAGGAAUACCAGUGGCGAAGGCGGCCUUCUGGACUGACACUGACACUGAGGUGCGAAAGCGUGGGUAGCAAACAGGAUUAGAUACCCUUGUAGUC
Molecule: ribosomal RNA, 465 nt
Filed under: Vreelandella stevensii
Lineage: Bacteria; Pseudomonadati; Pseudomonadota; Gammaproteobacteria; Oceanospirillales; Halomonadaceae
Description: partial 16S ribosomal RNA
Rfam family: Bacterial small subunit ribosomal RNA
Source: RNAcentral